ACAUAGCUCUCUGCUAAAGCUAAAUGCUGAAGUAUGGAGGGUGAGGCCUGCCCAAUGGUUGUAUCUAAAAGAGUUGGCUAAGGUCAACUUCAUAAGGACAAUUGAAUGGCCGCGGUAACACUGACCGUGAUAAUGUAGCGUAAUCAAUAGCCAAUUAAUUGUUGGCCGGUAUGAAUGGCGUCACGAAGGCCCCACUGUCUUAAGAGGACUCUCCAUGAAAUUGAAUUCGUAGUGAAGAUGCUACGUCCAUAUUGUAAGACGAAAAGACCCCAUUGAGCUUUACUAAAGACUUGCAUGGCUCAAAAUAAUUUGACUUAAAUAAAGAGUUUAGAUAAUGUGGGACCCGUUUCUGGUUAAUGAAACACCACUCUUUUAUUUUAAGAGAGCUAACAUUACAGGGAUAGUGUAAGUUGGAUAGUUUGGUUGGGGCGACCACCUUUUAAAAGGUAACGAAGGUGAGCUUAAGGUCCGUAGUUAAUAGCCGGUGGCCUGACUGCAAGGGGGACGUCUCGAGCAGACACGUCCUUAGGGAUGUGGACUAUAGUGACCCGUCAUCUUAGUGUGGAAUAGUUGACGAUCAACGAAUAAAAGCUACCAUGGGGAUAACAGCGUUAUAUCGUUAGAGAGUUUUCAUCGACGACGAUGUUUGCGACCUCGAUGUUGAAUUGCGGCACCCUGGGGUGCAGCCGCCCCCAAGGGUUGGUCUGUUCGUCCAUU
This 717-nucleotide ribosomal RNA is filed under the name Heteractis aurora. RNAcentral describes it as "partial 16S ribosomal RNA". It matches the Rfam family "Bacterial large subunit ribosomal RNA", at positions 1813 to 2589 of the family's 2925-position model. Lineage: Eukaryota; Metazoa; Cnidaria; Anthozoa; Actiniaria; Stichodactylidae. The record is from RNAcentral.